UCGCAGCAUCUGGCAGCAUAACAGCACUUAAUAUCCCUCUUGGGUUUCUUUAGAACGAGAUGCAGUUAAUAAGGAGGAGUGUUAUCGCAUCUCACCAACAACGCAGGGAAGAUGCAAGAAUCUUUUCCAGGCUCCAGAGGGAGUCCUUUGCCAUCCGACUUAAAAUACUCAUGAUAUGAAGGACCAAACCAGAAGUGCUGUAUCACCGGGUUGACCAAAACCAAAAAAGGGACACUUUAUUUAAAAGUUUAAAAGUUUACUAUAUUUAAAAGUGGUUAAUCUAUAUACGAAAUACAUUAAUACAUUGUUGUUAUACAAAUGUUCAUUAUGUAAAGAGAAUGUAUAAGGAGGAGGAUAGUAACUAACCUUUGGUGUAAGCCAUAAUUCAUAAAUCAUAAGUAUUGAAGUCAUAAGAAAUGAAAGAAAAAAA
Long non-coding RNA from Orbicella faveolata, 430 nucleotides. The record is from RefSeq and is a predicted model, not a curated record. NCBI's taxonomy places the organism in Eukaryota, Metazoa, Cnidaria, Anthozoa, Scleractinia, Merulinidae.